This 593-nucleotide ribosomal RNA is filed under the name Trichoderma harzianum. RNAcentral describes it as "eukaryotic LSU rRNA". The stretch from base 203 to 356 matches the Rfam family "5.8S ribosomal RNA". The record is from RNAcentral. Lineage: Eukaryota; Fungi; Ascomycota; Sordariomycetes; Hypocreales; Hypocreaceae.
GGCCCGGGCGGUCGCUCCCAACCCAAUGUGAACGUUACCAAACUGUUGCCUCGGCGGGAUCUCUGCCCCGGGUGCGUCGCAGCCCCGGACCAAGGCGCCCGCCGGAGGACCAACCAAAACUCUUAUUGUAUACCCCCUCGCGGGUUUUUUUAUAAUCUGAGCCUUCUCGGCGCCUCUCGUAGGCGUUUCGAAAAUGAAUCAAAACUUUCAACAACGGAUCUCUUGGUUCUGGCAUCGAUGAAGAACGCAGCGAAAUGCGAUAAGUAAUGUGAAUUGCAGAAUUCAGUGAAUCAUCGAAUCUUUGAACGCACAUUGCGCCCGCCAGUAUUCUGGCGGGCAUGCCUGUCCGAGCGUCAUUUCAACCCUCGAACCCCUCCGGGGGGUCGGCGUUGGGGAUCGGCCCUGCCUUGGCGGUGGCCGUCUCCGAAAUACAGUGGCGGUCUCGCCGCAGCCUCUCCUGCGCAGUAGUUUGCACACUCGCAUCGGGAGCGCGGCGCGUCCACAGCCGUUAAACACCCAACUUCUGAAAUGUUGACGUCGGGAUCGGUGUAGGAAUACCCGCUGAACUUAAGCAUAGCAAACCGCCGGGGAGA